UUGUGUUUGGUUGAGAAUCUGGUAAAUAGUUAUAAAUCAUUCCAUCUCGCAAGAAAGUUCCCCUUGAACCGUUCUUUUCUCAGAAAGAUAAAACAAGUAUUCUGAAAAAUUGGUACAGAACAGAUAUUUCAUGUUUGGUCUUUCUAACCUAUUUACCCCACUAAACCGAGGGGAAAAAGUUUUCUAUGAAAGGAUGGCAUAGUUUAAACCAGAUUCUCAACCAAACACAGCCUAAAAGAUUGUGCUUAUUGACAAUUGAAUUUGCACUUCUCUACUCUAUGCACCAUUAUUCACUUCAAUAUCAUCUGAAAAAUUAAAGAUCUGGACACCACACAAAAAAUAACCAAACAGGAAACUAGUCUAUUCUUGCAUCUUGUGCUAUUCUUCUCAUGAAAAUUGAGCACUAUUUGCAGAUGAUAAUCUAACAGAUGCAUAACUAAAGAAUUAGGACUGCAUAAAUUUCCCAAAAAAGGGACUCACAUGGACUAGUUACAUGAAAGUUCUUGUUCCUUUCAGAUUAAGAGACUGCUCUACAGCUACCACUAUGAUAUAUUUGCUUUUACACUAGCAAAUACAAACCUAUUAAUUCCUAUUUUCUUUGUAGAUCUUCUGUUCCGCCAUUAAGAGAGAUCAUGUUCUGUUUAUCAGUUCUGAAGCUAAAAAUUCUACACCAAUGAUUUGACAGGUUAGAAGCAGGAAAAAUACCAGAGCAUCCAGUGUCGCACUUCCAUAACAUCAAAUGCCAAACAGAAAGCAAUUUGAAUAGCAGGGGAGAUAUAAUGCACUAUCUUCCACCUCCAUCGGCUGCCUGAAUGGAUUUAUCUGAAUCUACAGCACAGGUUGCAUCACCAUCAUCAAAGCUUAAUUUCAGAUGAGCAUCAUCAGACAGAUAAAACAGGAGAACAAACAUACUGGUGGCUUGAGAGGUUGACAAGUCAUAGUGCUUAUGCAACGGGCACCAAGAUAUGCAGCUUCUUCGCAGAAGUCAGAAAAUACCGCUGGGACACCCAUCUCCUUGAUAAGUUUCUGAAAGACAUAGCAUGUGUAAGCUGUAUGCAACUUUUCAACUUACCUGCAGUAACUAGUGCAGCGUCUCUAAAACAUUGUACUGCAAGCAGCAAAGAUGCAAUGUUUGGUGAUUAUCUCGAAGUCCACGCAAUUUGAUGAUCAUUCAAAGUUUUUACACAAAUAACCAACUUGGAAAGAAGCAUGAAACAAAUCAACAAAUUCGAGGGCAUAGUGACCAAAUUUACGUACAUGAAAUACAGUAGUGAGGUCAUGCCAACUAUGCUUCUAUACAAGCAUGCAAAAUAGCAGUUCAUACAUAAAAUGUUAUUUGAAAUUGUAUAUAACUAUCACCACCCUCAGUAAUAACAAUACAAAAGAAAACUUAGAAACAGAGACUCCCGUGUGGGUUUCAAGGUGUUGAAGCAAGUUUGUGGAGAGCAAUACUGCUGUGCUUCUUCAGUUUCCCAUAGAGAGAACACUUCGAAAAGACAAUAACCAGAAAAUGAAUGAUAAUAGCUGAAUUUGUAUAUGAGCAGGCUACAAACAGUAGAAAUGUCGUGGGCAAGAAGAGAGCUUAGUGAUGGUAUCUUAAAGACAGCAAAUGACACAAAAAUACUGCAGUGCAAUCAGAGGCACAUAAGGUAACAAUAGACUCACAGUUUGCCCAUCACAGGCAUUGUAAGGCUGAUAGAUGGUAAGAUGAAUGAAAUUUUUAACAAGCUAAAGAUAAUGUGCAAAAUCAGGAAAAGGCUAACCAUUAUGUGAUCAAACUUUCAGCUCAGGCUUGAUUUGCACAUGGCACAGCUGGCUUAAGCAUUUUGGGGUGGUUUUACCAUCAAUCAAAUGAACCUAAAUCUGACAUUGUUUUGUCGAGAAAGUAGAUAUCCCAGAUAAUAGAAAUCUCAAUUUCAUAACAGUAAGAGGACUGAGGUCAUGCCAAACUGCAAGUCCUCCUUGAUUGAAUGAAUGUGAAAUAAGAUAAUACCUAGUAAUAAUCAGGUUGUCCAUAGAGCAAAAUUGGAAAAUACUAUCCCCUAUAGAGAUAUUUAAAUUAACAAAAAAUGGUUAGGCUUUGCUUCGAAAAGGGGGCCACCAAAACCAAAUUUCUCGAACAAGGCCCAAGGUUCUUAUUUGGGAGCAGAACUAGCUUGAUGAAGACAAAUAUGUUGAGAAAGACAAUUUAUUCUGGAAAGAACAAACUUUUAUCAAGUAGAAAUAUUGUACAGAUCCAAGACCUCCCCAUAAAUGGCUAGCCGGAAGGUAUUGUUUAUGUGCCUUGGCCCUGCAUAAGUACCUAAUAUCUUUCGAGCAGACAACCAAUGUAAGACUAAAUAUACGCCCGAACAAGUCUUCACAUACUCCCCCUACUUAAACCCUAGCAUCCUUGCAAGGUUAGGAGUCCAGAUCCAAUUAAAUACAAAUCAAAUCAAAUCCAAUCACAAAUAUUACAAUCAGCUUGUGGUUAGCCUCAAAAGGGCUAAUAUUGCAGUGUCUCCUAACCCACAUGGGUUAUAGGCCGGAUCCAUUCUGAUACCAUUUGUAGACACCCAGGUACUCACGAAAAUGGCUAGCUGGUAGGUAUCGUUUAAGAUCCUUGGCAUUGUAUAAGCACGCAAGAUCUCCUCAAAGCACAACUAAUGUGGGACUAAAUGCACACUUGCAUGGGUCCUCACAAAUGUGGUCUUCAUUCCUAACAAGUAGAGGAGCCCACCCAUGAAUUACAACAACAAUCAUCAACAGCCAAUAAUGGUCAUUUGAGCAUGGCCAAAAAUCUCCUCAUAAUCAAUAUGAUGCUCUUGAUUAAAUCCAAAUGCCACCAUCUUGUAAAACAUGAAGAAAACAUUUGGAUCCACAUUAUUAAGGGAUACUUGCAUAACAUAUGGAUCAUGAUCACUUUGGAAAGAAAUUAGAUACCAGGUCUGUGUGCAGCAGAUUGUAUUAAGCUUCUCAAUCUUAGCCUCCUUGUAAGAGAUAAGUAUGUGUACAACAAUCCAUAUGAACAUACAAAUGUAAAAGGACAAUGAAAACUCAAUUAAUUAGCACCAUUGAAGGUCAGAAAAGGCUUAGGAGUCAUUUGAUCACAGAUAAUUUUGAAAAUGCUAGCCGUGCCUAGGAGAAAUCAAAGAGGUAGUGUUGUCAUCUAUAGACACCUCAGCAGGACACUGCUGAAUGAAAAUGUUGAGAAAUGAGAUGUUGGGGAAUUCGCAAAAGGUCAAACCUCCAAAUAGAGGUAGAUAAGGAGCACAAGUGGGAUUCAGAAAAACUGAUGACUAUAGUUAGGAAGGACAUAAAGAUCAUGGAAGGUGUGGAAGUGAAAAAUAGGCAAAAGAGAGGAUGGCAACAUUUCAUGGGCAAGACCGCUGGUUAAAUACAUCAAAGAAAAUGGAGGCACACCCAUAAGACAAAAACCAAUUAAGCAACUUAUAUUUACUAGAAAGGUGAUAUCUACCAAUAAGAGGAGAGAGACUAAGAAAAUAGAGAAAGAGCGAAAGAGAAAAACUGAGCUCCUAUGGUGAAGGAAAAGCACCUCUGCAGUAUUGCUUCACUAGCGAGAAUUAAGGCAAUACGAGUGUCAUUGUUCCAGUGGUGGGAAUAGGGUGCAAGUAGCAGUGGAGCUGCAACUGGCAUGCAUGGAGAAGAAAUGGGAGGGCCCAGGUUUCAGGAAUGAAGAUAGACCAAUGGAUAUCGAUUUAUGGACGUCUAUUGGCAAGCUUAAGGCAAAGCCAUGAAGGAGAAGGGGGUACAAAAAUUAUCGCAAACAAAGAGCAGUAAGGAAGCUAGGGUUUUCGUUUAAAGGGGAUGUAGCAUUACUUUAUAGGUCAAGGCCAUCCAUCGAAAAGCAAAUUAUAUGGCUGUUGGAACAUCUGGAAAGGGCGUUAACUGUGGAGGGUUUUUUUCCUUUUUCUUUUGUAGUAGAAAAGCAGUGCGAUGCAAGUUCUAUGGAAUGCUAUGAAAUAUUCUACAAAUGGGACUCACCAUGCUCUCCCAAGACCCAUAAUGCUCCACUGAGGUGCUUAUGAAGUUGGGUGGUUUAGUCCUAAAUGGAUAAGAAUGCGGCAGAUGCUUCCCAGAAGCCUGUGGUCCCAGUAAGAAGUUUGGGUCCUGUCAUCCUUGUUUUGUUUUCUGCCUUCUAUUUGUCUUUCUUGUUUAGUUACUUUCCUUAUUGCAUUUCUUUAAUAAUACUUUAGGUGGGAGGCUUCCACCUCUCUCCUUAUUCUCAAAAAAAAGUAUCUAAUAUAAAACAUAUAUAUGAUGUAUAUUAAUGCUACACAUGUAUAAAUUUUGUAACAUACAUGUUCACUGUUUAUGAAGGAUUCAGCUUGAAUCCAAGCUCAAGCCUAAACAGGAGAUGCCCAAACCCAGCCCCAAAGCAACCAGGCCUUGACUUUCUACUCAUUGGAGAAACACUGGUGACUACUUAGUGGUUUUGUUAACUAUAACACUCAUCUCAUUUCUUUGUUUGAACUUUGCAUUAUAGCACCUCCAAUCUAGAUAAUUCUUGUACCUUCUCUGGAGCAGAGCAUCAUUUGGUAAAAUUCAACCCUCUGGAACAUCAUUUCGUAAAAGUCAACCCUCUGCAUAUACUACAUUCUUAAUGACCAAUCUGGUUUUUUAAAGCAAAACUUGUAUGAUCCAACAAAGUUUCAGGGAGGCAUUUGCAAGAGUAUCAGGGGAAAAAAUUGCACUUACAUCUUAACAUUUAUUCUAAUAUUAAACCCAAACUCCAAACUGCCUCUUUGUUUGUGAGCCUUCAAGUCAUUUGUCUCCAGAUCUCUCCCUCUUCAAACCACUAUAACAAAACCCAUCUUAAAUUAAAAUGCCCCUCUUACUUCUUGCUCAUGGGAGAGAAAAAAGGAGAUGUGCACCUCCCAAAAUUGCGGGGUGUAAUUAUCAAUAUCCAGGUUAGGUGAUAACAACCAUGGAUACUACCUCCCAUGUGCAUUGCAUGGGCUAGAUUCUAGUGCUUAUUGUACUAUCCAUAUUUACAGUCUUUUUUUUCUUGCUCAUGCAUAUUAUAAUCAUUCUUUGUAUGACAAAGUUCAUAUAUAGGUGAUAUAUAAAAACCGUAGAUUGUGUCAUUCAAUCAUUGGGCAUCAGUCCUUUAUAUAGUAUACAUUGUGACUCAUGCCCUAAUAAAACACUGUUUUCACUCCAAUAAAUGCUUGUAGUUUCUUGAUGCAUAAGGUAUUUUGUUCUUCCUUCAGAAAAGAACAGCAAGUGCAAUUUUGUCAUUACAAAUUUGGAACACAAGAAGCAUCAAGUACAUGACAGAUCCUAAUAUAUGACAGGUUUUAAAGAAUGGAAACAUGUACAAUUAGAACCAAGUAUGAAAAAGCAAAACUUUCAACUAAAUGUUCGAUGCUUCAUAUGUAGAUAUCAUACAUGGCAACAAUCACAUUAUGUCAUUGUAAAUGUCAACAGAAUAAAAAUUCAAACCCCUGUAAAAUAGUUAGAAUUGAUAAUGAACUCAAGAAGAGUGAAAGUUUGUGAGAACUGAGAAGACAUACAAUUGUUGGUAACCAAUUGGAAUAAGCAGCAACACCAGCAUUUGGUGCAACAAUCAGCUGAGGAUAGGAAUCCUGUUAAAAGUUUGGGAGAAAGUUAAGAAAUAACAAAUAACACAUCUAAAAGAUUUGGAUAUGCACAAGGAAAUUCAAAUUUUUUCAAAAGAUCAGACAUAAAUGUGGUACUUAAAUUGAUAAAUAUCAACUCCUUACAUAUAUGACGACUUCACACUUGAUUUUAAGCUAAUUUUUUUGGGGUAAGAUAGAAAAAUAAUUUAUGAGCUUUCUAUGUAAAGAACAAGCUCAUGAAAAACACAUGAUAGGGUCAUUCUUAAUCUACAGGAACAUAGCAUAAAUCUGAACAUACGAAAUCAAGUACUACACUUACUCUCUGGGAAUUCACAGAAAGCAAAUAGAGUUAAAGCUAACUUGCCUCGGUUUUAUCUAUAUCAAUUAUCAGGAUCAGGACUUCACAUGUAUGGAGCUUGAAACAAUUUAAGUUGAAGAUCAAGUAGAAACUCAUUGACCACCGAGCCUUUUAUAGUAAGGACCUUUUAGAUUAGUUAAAAAUUUAAGUCAUUUCUUAUUAGAUGAAAAUAUCAUAUUGAUGCCUCUCAAAUCUCUUUGGCUAUCUCAAAAAAGGUCACAAGCAGAUCCAAGGUUCCAAAUUGUACAUGAUCUAUGUAGAUGAGCAACUCUUCGAUCUUGACAUAAGUGAAGUAUUUCUCCUUCCCUUGAGCCCUUGUAAAGGAUUUGAAUGUUGUUGGCAUGGGAAGAGUUAUUAAAAAUCAACUUAGUAGAAGUAGAAAUAUCUCAAGUGUUUAAGUUAUAAAUUUUAAAAUUGGAGUACAAAAACAAAAAGAUACCAACAAAAAUAUUUAUUACCGACAGAGAAUCAACCUAAGGUUUGCCGGACCAAUCGGUACCAUACCAUAUCGGUAAACCAGUAUGUAGUCUUGUACCGUACCGAUACUUGGUACGUCUCGCCAUCGUGUACCGUACCGCAUACCGACAUUGUAAUGGAUUAGUACCGAUAUGGGGUUUGGCACUGAGACAGUGAACCUUGAAUCAACCAAACAAGAAUUAAAGUAUAAAAACAUAAUGUGACAAACUGUGCAUCACUUAGAUACCAGUUUAUAUAAGACUUUAGGCUUACAUAAUAGAUCAAAAAUAAGACCCUUAAAUCAAAAAAAUAUGACGAAUAUUUAGGAUUUCAUAAAAUAUUAGAAAACUAAAAAAGAUGUAAAAAGAUUAGUAAGGCCAAAUAUGCAGCAUAUGAUAAUUUAUAUGAUAAGCUUGAGUUAGAAAAAGUGAGAAUGAAAUUUACAAAAUAGCUAAAACUAGCGUAAAGAAAACUAAAGAUAUUGAUCAAGUUAGAUGCAUUAAGGUGAGGAUAAUAGGAUAAUCAGUGAUCACUGAACCAACCCAAAUCAGCCAGUUCAGUUCAUACCGAAUCGAACUGACACCAAGUCAAGAUGGUUCAGCAGGUCAAAUCAGUUCGGUUAUAAAACCUCCACCUUUGUUUGAUGGUUCAAGAGCCUUCGAGAGCUCUCUCAUCCACUUAGACAUGGACACCGCUCACUCCCCCAUCUUUGACGCCGACCAUCACCGAUAGGCCUCCCUCACUCCCUCUCUCUCCGCCAAAUGCCGCUCGCUCCCCCCUUUAUAAUGCCGACUAUCGCCAAUAAGCCUCCUCCCACUCCCCCGUUCCUUUGUCUCUCCAUUUGAUGCCGCUUGCUCCCCUCUCUUCAACAAUGUGACGUCAUCGCUAGUAAGCCUCCCCUACUCUCUCCCCCUUCCUCAUUCCCUCCCUCCCUCUCCAUCCCUCUUUCUUCCUCUCUCUGCUUCUCCCUCUCCUUGUUUCAGUAAUGCCUCAGAACGGCAUGGUGCAAACCUAUAUCAUGCCGAACUAGUCGCCGACCGAUAUGAGCCUUAGUAUUGGUCCAGCAGACCUGGAGGAUACUAAUGAAAGAUGAGGAAAUUAAAGAAUGAUGGAGGUAUUAUUUUAAAAAUUCCUAAAUGAGAAUCUUACUGAAGAAAUAUUUAUUGAAAAAGUACAAGCAAGAAAAGGCCGAGGUUUUAGUCUUACAAUUCAUAAAAGUGAAGUAGAUAGCUUUCAAAGAAAAGCAAAGAGGUAAAAUAUUACGAUUGGAUGAGAUACCUUAUUAAGGUUUGAAAGAACAUGGAAGAUAUUACAUUAAUUGGAUUGCUAACUUAUUUAAAUUAUGAAAAAUAAAAAAAUAACAAAUGGGUGGAGAAAAGUAUUGAAGUACCAGCUUAUAAGAAUAAAAGUCAUCUAUAAAUUAUUCUAACCAUGGUCUGUUGUGCCGGUACCGGGCAUCGGACCGGUUGCCCUAUGGCACGGGUCGGUACAGGCCCGCAUCGUGUCGUGCUGGGCUUGUACCGACACAGUAGAGAAGGUGGGGGAGAGGGCGAAUGAGAGGAAAAGAGAGAAGGGGAAGAGAGAAAAUGCCGUGCUGGGCUCGUACUGACACAGUACGACCGGAACCGUCUAGUUUGGGACGGUUCCGCUGACCCUUGUUCUAACUAUCAAGAGUUAAGCUUAUGAAUCACACAAUGAAAUUAUAGAAAAUGAUAAUUGAACAAAGAUUAAGAAAAGUAACAACAAUUUCAGAUGACCAAUUUAGAGUUAUGCCUGAAAGAUCAACAAUGGAGGGUAUCUUUUCACUUAACAAAUGAUAGAAAAAUAUGAGAAAAAGGAAAAGUCAUUAAUGAUCUUUAUUGGAUUUAGAGAAAGCUUGUUAUAGAGUGUGAAGAAAAUGAUUUGAUGGGCUUUAAGAAGGAAAGGUAUACAUAAACAGUAUAUUGAACAAAUUAAAUACAUGUAUGCUGCCAUUAAUAAGUGUUAGAAGUUGUUGCAGAACAAUAAAUAUUUUUCUAGUCAUACUAAGCUUACAUCAAGGAUUGACAAAGCUCAAAUCUUUUUGAAUUAAUUAUAGAUAAACUCAGCUAAUAUUCAGGAAGAUAGGGUGUUUGUUAUUUGCGGAUGAUAUAGUAUUAAUUGAUGAAAAAAAACUAAAUUAAAUACUAAAUUGGACUUAUGGAGAAAAACUUUAGAGGAUAAGGGCUUAAAUUAGUACAACACAGACAGAAAAUAUGAAAUAUAAAUUUAAUGAGACUAAAAAUAUAGAGGUAAUAUUAAUUAAAACUGAAGGAGAAGAGAUAUCACAGAGAGAUAAAUUUCAUUAUUUAGGAUAUACUGCACAAAAUAAUUGAAAAAUAAAUGAAAAGAUAUGUAACAGAUUUAGAGCUGGUUAGAUUAGAUGGAAAUGUGCAUCUUGAAUAUUAUGUGAUAGGUGCAUAUCUUAGAAAUGAAAAAUUUUAUAGAACAACUAAAGCUACAAUGUUAUAUGGGUCAAAGUUCUAGGCAAUAAAGAAAUUACAUGAAAGAGAAGAGUGUGGAAGAAAUAAGAAUGUUAAGAUGGAUGUAUCAUAAAACUAGAAUAGAUAGAUUAAGAAAUGAGCAUACCAAAAGAGUUGUAGGAGUUGCACAGCUUAAGGACAAAAUGAUAGAAAAUCGAGUGAAAUGGUAUGGACAUAUGCAGAGAAAUUUCAAGAAGGUUCUUGUAAGGAUAGGUACUUUAGUUUGUGUUGUAAGUUGUUAAAACAAAAAAAGGGAGACCCUAGGUAACAUGGAUAGAGGUUGUAAGGAAUCAUAUGAAGAAACUUAGAAUAACAUCAAAGGUGACCAUAGAAAGGAACACUUACUGAAUAAGGAUCCAUAAAGCCGAUUCCACAUAGUUGGCAAAAUGCUAGAUAAUUAUGAUCAUAAUUAUGAUACUAAUUUAAAGCAAAAGGAAGUUAGAGUGAUAUUGUUAUCUCUAUGUAAUCAUUAGAUUUAUUUCUUUGGUUGUCGUUUCAAUAUUUAUAAUUUAUUUGUCUAUUGAAAGUAAAAUUUAAUGUUAAAGAUUUACUCAAUAUUUGCAUGGAAAAUUAAUUUAGCAAGCAAUCUGAUUAAUUACUUCUAAAAUAAAAUACAAGAACAACAUUAUAGGGAGUUCACUACUACCUAAAAGAAAUGCUAGAUCCUAGAAGAGUGUUUGCUAUUAUCAUAUAUGAAUCUGCAACAUGUACACUCACAAGGCAGCUCUUCAGAAAAUGUCAUGCACAACUUACAAAGGUUAAGUUUCACUUUGCAUUUAAUGAAUUGAUCUGGUAGUAUAUUAGUAAAAACUAAGUAGUAAGAUGGAAAUAACCUUUAUUAUAUCCAUAUAUCUGUCAUGAUAGAAACCCUUGUGAAGCUUUAGCACCACUUUAGAUGUUUGUCCAUUUGAUCCCCCAGUAUCAGAAUCCAUGCAUGAAGAUUUACAUGGGCAGCUCUCCUCAGAACACUUAACAUAUUCGCAAAGCUCUAACAUCAUGCCAUCCCUAUUAGCCGAAAUACAAUAAGAAAUAGGGUCAAUUGAAAGCAACUAGGAAAAUAAUGAUUGCUCUAUAAAAGAAAACAAAAUUAUAGAUGAAUAUUUAGCUCAUCUUAUAGAUGAAUAAUGAUUGCUCUAUAAAAGAAAACAAAAUUAUAGAUGAAUAUUUAGCUCAUCUUAUAGCCAAUUAAAAACAAAUCAGCAUACACCCGCACACUAACAGGUGUGGAGAAAAAAGAAGUAUAGAGAUAAUUGUGGAGAUGAGACUAUAACCAAUAAGCUCAAAACAAUUUAUUUGUUAAAGGUUCUAAAUUUCUUCUAGUCAUUCACAAUUACAAAGGUCAUACUUUCAUUGUCCAACCAUUCUCUUCCUGAUCCUUCAACAUGAAUUCCUUCCAUGCCUUCUCAAGUUACCCUCCUCUUUUUAUUCCUCCAGGCAAAUUCUACCUCUAUCCAAACUAACACCUCCUGUCUUUGCUGUACAUAAUUAAGCCAUAUUGAAUACUUUCCCUUCACUUGCUAACCCCUAGAAUACUUCCUUCCAAAGGAACCAAAAAAAGAGCAUAUAUAGUAAGUAGUUUAAUUGCAAUAUAAUAGAUGACAAAUGGUAACCAAUUCUAAACUUCUUUGACCGUUUAUUAGAGUGAUAAGCACCUCUAACAUGUCAUACCUUCCUUUGCCAAUGCCUAAAAGGAUUAAAUCUUAUCACAUACUUGCGAUCUACGAUUACCUCACGAUGAUAUUUUGCCUGCACUCAUGAACAUUGACCGAUUAACUAUUUUAGAUUCUUCCAAACCAAAGUACGCCAUACUGUACUGACCCAGACGAUAUGGAGCAUACCAUACUGUACCGGUUUAAUACCAGUAGAGGGGCAUACCAAUACUCGGUACACCGAACCAACCCCCACAUCAAGCGUACUGCCACAGUAAUAGCAUGGCAUUGGUACGAGACCUGGUACCGAGACGGCAUACCUUGCUCCAAACACUCUCACUCACUUUCUCAAGUUAUUUCUCUCCCUGUUUACAUUUAAAUCGCACAAAAACCAGAAUCUCAAUGUUUUGGAGGUAUGUAAUAUUUGAUACACUUAUGAAGAAAAUAUCAAUUGAAUUUUGGACGUCUCCUGCCAACAACUUAAGUGCUUACAAUGUGCAACUAGAAUCCAUAUAUUUUUACUCACUGUACUUGCACGGAACUACCAAACAUUUCAUUGCUGGUCCUCGCCAUGCUGGAUGUCAAUCAUGACCGACAAUGUGGUUUCUUAAUUCAAAUGACCACUCAGGUCAAGCAUCCUUACUGGCAAGGUCUAAGCUAAAAUCCUCACCUAAUUGUUGGUCAUCUGAUCAUCUCUGACUAUGUUAAGGGGUGUGUAAUACAUAAAUGAAAAUCAAUAUACAAAAUAAAACUUUAAAAAAUGGAAAACAUAUAGGCUCAUAUUCUCAGUGAUUAUGUUCGUGAUAUAUAAAUGCAAUUCUCUACACUUUUAAUUGCAUUUCAGAAUAUUGUUACCUGUGUUGUUUAAAAUCUUGACUGCUAUAACAGUUCUAGAGGUCCUUCGUCAUGUCAAAAAUAAUAUACAAAUAGUCAACAGCAGUUAUUCCACUAUGACAGCCUGAUUUGAGCCUUCUAGUGUUUACACGAAAGCAAUUAUUUUAUACUAAUAUUAUACUAUAAUACAGGAUAGUUUAUCUGAAAAUUAAUCGGCAGACAGCAUUUUGUAGCAUGAGACUGAUUUUUAACUGAUUAUCCAGUCAACAUGUUAUCCCAAUAAAAGUCGAGCAACAAAGUGGAAUGGGCAAAUAAAGGCCAAAUCCUAGCUGCCAGUUAAGCAGAAUUAGAUAUUAAGCAUAUUCUGUUGCAUUACUUUUCAUUUGACCCCUUUAAAUCUAUAUCUAUCCACUUUAGCAUCACUACCUUCAGUAUCCAAUAGAAGUCAAAACACAGGCAACCCAAACCCAAACUUCAUUCAUUUGUUACACUUGAUCAAUUCAUUUAAACUAGUGUUUCAGAAAGUUAUAGAUAAUUUUUUUAAAUAUAUAGGCAUGAGCAACCGAUAUACAAUAAGGAGGGGUGCUUCUCAGAAAUCUAUGGUAAAUCAGUAGAUUGUGGAAAUGACAAGCAGUCAAAAUAGAACACAGGAAGGCAGAUAUAAAGUAGGGGGAAACCCUCUUAAGAUCUAUGAUGAUGUGUGUAAUUUGUUAAAAUGCUGACUUGGCAAAUUUUAAAUUAAUAAAAUUAGACAUCAUGAGUAAGAAAGAAUACUCUCUUAAAUAUCUAGCAUGAAGUGAGAGAUGAAAACCAACAUAAAUUGGGGAACUGCUGGUCCAACAAGUUCUAUUUGCAGCUGAACAGCAGGAAAAAGUGCCCGCAACUCUCCAAACACCGCAAGUUGCCAAAGCUCUUUAUCAGGACCUUUAGACAUUGAUUUACAAAAUCAAUUGUAAUGAAAAAUUUAUGAGAAUAUGAAUAAAAUAUAACAUAUUUACAUCCAAACAUUGAUUUGCGAUUAUAUUUUGAAUAGUAACUUGAAUAUGGAAUUAUGGGCCUCCCUAAUGAUAAUAGAAAGUUAGAAACAAUUGAGAUCAAAUGCUUCACAGAAGAAGAAGAAAUUUGAAAAACAGUCUGAUCCUACUCCACAAUUAACUCUUCAUAAGCCAAAAAUGUUUCAUUGGUAACCUCAAAUAUGCUCAGUUGCUUAACAAGAAGAAGACUUUUCUUUAAAUUACAAGAAGCAGAUAAUUUUGUUAUCUGAGCACUAAUUAUUAUGAAACGUCAAAGUGGAUGAGAUAUAGCAGACAUCAGAAAACUAGCCUUGCAACUACAUCUAGAUGCGUUGAGCUCCAUCACUAAGAGUUUUACAAGAAUAUUGUAAGAAAAAACUAUCACUGAUAAUUCAAUAAUAAUCCAAUUUCUAAAAUAUAACUCUUACAUAUCCAUAAUCAGGAAGUUUCAAGAGUUGUUACCUAAAUAAUGUAUGCACAAUCUGUUGCCAACUUCUGAAAUUAAACUUCGAACAGCUAAGAGUUGAUAGCAGUGGUAUAUGGUAAGUGGCUGUAAGAGAAGAUGACAAAGCUAAGAUAGACUAAUACAAUCACACAGAUUUUCUAUACUCAUUGAAAAGAAUAUUGAAGUCACGUAAAACAUUGUUUUCAACAGUUCUUACGGAUGUGCAAUAUAUUAUAUAAGUCCUUUUAAAAGAAUUUUGGGUAUAAAAUACCAUAUGAAGAUACAGAACACCAAUGACAAAAAGAGUUGACUACAGCAGAUAAAACUUUGGUAGGCACUCUCAAAAAAUUGAUUCAAUAUAAGGGUCUUUUAAUAUAUUGACAUCAAGUCAGGUGACUAACCUAACUUUUUUCUUUUAAAAAGAUAAUAGCUUUAGCUUGACUAAGAAUACACAGGUAAAGAAUUAUAACAAGUGUUGAUUAUGUUUAUAUGAGCAAGGAUUAGUCUGUCAUAUAAAUGUAUUAUAUUGUACUAAGCCAGCACGUCAUAUGCGUUGGCAAGGAAAGAUUUGUGACAUUGCCUAAAAGACACAUAACUAGCACAUUAUGGGCCUGUUUGGAUGCCCCAACAGCUAAUCUCCAUGUUAAAUAUUCUUCAAUGAGAAACUUCUGCCAAAUUAAGUUGGUGAUCAAUAAAAUAGAGGAAUAUGAGGAGCCUAAGAUUCCAUUUUUCCUGACUUUUAUAGUAAAUCACAAAUUUAGCGGUUUCUAUUAUCCCUAAAAAAUUGGAACAACUGAUUAGUAAGCCCCUUCGCUCCCUCAAACUCCUACUAAUCUUAAUCAACAAAAAUACAGAAUAUUGCCCUGCAGGGUUUUAAAUACCAGUGGGACAGCAAGGCUUCCACCGUCCCAACUGUCAGACAAGGCACCAUGCCAAGUGUCCAAAUGGGACAAGUUGGGAAGGAACAGGAAAGGGACGAAUAUCCACCAUCUUGAGUCUGGACAUGUGUAUGGCAAUCCACAAUAUUAAGAGAACCGAUGCGGCAUAUUUGCCUCAUGCUAUAAUGACAACAUGUGGGACAUCUUAUGGAGAGACAGCAUUGACAACAUAAGAUUAUUCUCUAAAAAAUUCUUGUUCUCCUUGUUUCUGUCUUCUUAGACGAUAAUAUUAUGAUCAGAAUAGUUAUAGGCUACAUAUUUUGUUCAGAACAUAAUCUGGAGUAUAAUGGGUGAGUCGGUGAGAAGAAAAUUAAAUAUGACAUGUCUAUACCAGAAGCAAAACAUCUAUCUAGAAAGGGGUCGAAUUUUACUAUGGCUUGCCAAAUGAUGCAUAAACUAUUGUCUUGUUUUUGGCUGACAACAGCAGGCACCAGUUAACACUAUCCUGCAAGUAGACUGUCAUUACAAUUACAUUUGGUUUAGAAACUAUAGCCUUUUAAUAAUUCAGUAUACGCUGUUCAUCAAAUAAUUCCAUGAUGAGUUUUAGGCCGCAGAAAGCUUAUGCAAUAAAAUGGCAAUUGGCUAGCACAUGCAGAUGGCUUACCGUUCCAAAACUGUCUGAAAAAAAAAAGUUGAACUUUGUGUACCACAGCAUGCAUUACUAACACAAACUAGAACUAAAAACAAGUUAUGGAAUGUCCAGAAAUAAGCUUCAAGGUAUAUAUAUUGUAAAAUUGAAAUUCUGACAUACCCAAUGAAGUAAUAAAGCAACUGGUGAAUCAAAUGGAAGGCAUCGCCAUUCAUAAUAAUCUUUCCAACUCCUCAAACAAGUUGAUAGUGGACUUUUUGGUUCUGUUGCAGUGAAAUAGUAGUAAUCAAACAAAAGGUCAAAACAAGGAUGACAAGAAGCAGAAACUUACCAGUACAUGGGCAUAGGGAACUUGGAAGUUUCCAAUCAUCAAGUAUCCUGCUAACGAAAUAGUAGUUAAACAGACAUAUAAAAAACAAACUGCCAAUUGUUUGCAAAGAAAGGCAUAAAUUAAACUUAUAUUGCAUGAAUAUCAAGUAUUCUUGAUCGAAAGCAAGUAUUCUGAUUUCAAUAUUUACAAAAUUCAGAGGAUUCUCAAAAAGCCCAAUUAAGAUAAUACUAUCCUAUUGAGGCCGUGUUUGAAUUCAGGACAGCUAACUUGGGGUUGGUUAUCUUUAACUCUAGAGGACCCUUAUUCACUUAUUGUUGGUUAGCAAUAUCCCUUAUUUGGUUGAAGUUUGAGGGUUAGUGGGAUAAAUUGUGGGGAACAAGAAUGAAAAGUAAGAGGGAGAAGAGAGCUCCAUGGUUUGAUCUUAUUUAAAACUUAUUUCACCAAGGGGUGAAAUAAGUUCGCACAAAUAAGCAUCUUUUUCGUUGCACUGACUGGGCGAACCUAACCUGGGGAAAUAAGCUGGUGUCUUGGAUGUUAAUGGAUAAACCCCACACUAACCCCCAUUAACUUGGCAUCAAACAGGACCUAAGUAUUUUAGCUACAAUAAUGAAAACAUGGUUGCAACGUGCUGAUAAGGAUCAAAGACAUAGUUCUUCCUAUCCAACACUACAACUUUAGAGUGUUGAUUUAUCUAAAACAUUUUUGUAUCAAGUUUUUUAUUUUAACAUACCAUGAGCACACUAAUUAAGGAUUUGAUCUAGAUCUGUCAAUAAUUAGAAAGCUGGAUAAGUUACUAUGUGCACAACAUUAUCAUAAAGGUUGUGCAAGCGUAAACGUAAAAAAAGAGGUAACUGAUAUUGUUUAUUUGUGACUGUCAGCUGGGAGCAAUGUCCUGAUCAAUUUUAUUAGAAUCAACCUUCAUCCUGUAGCCUGAGUGCAGCUCCUGUCCAAUACUUGGGACUAAAUAUAGGAAAAAAGCAACAAAAAAAAGAAAAGAAAAAAAGUAGAAAAUGGAAAAUACAAAAAAUACAAAAAAUUGUAGGAAAUACAUAAAAGAUUGUUUGAAUUAUUUUUCUAUAAAAAAAACAGCUGUCAUUAGAAGAGAGGUGUUUCAUCUGAACAUGAUAGGAUCAUUGGAUGGAGCAAAGACAGCAUAAUUUUCAGUUUUGUCUGAAGUAUAUAAGUUGUGUUAGCACUUAGCAACAUAAGGAGUAAGUUAAUUUCCAAAAGUCUAGCGCAAAAACAAUCAGGUGACUGCAUGAUGUUUGGAUUAAAAUCAAUUCUUGCCAUUAUGGUAUGUCAUCUAAGUUUCUCUAGUAUAUCUCAGAAAUAUGUUGAGGAGGCAACAGGUUAAAGGCAUUUAAAUUGUCAUAUUUAGUAUUGAUUUAUUUUCCCAUAAUAGGCCAUGACGAGAUAUUAGGCAUAUGUUGAUUUCCAAUAUUUCUGUUAUUCUAUUACUAUCAAAAAAAUGCCUAGAAAAGAAAUUUCAUAGAUAUUUAAAACUAUGUUAGAACUGCAUAAUUAUGUUACAUCUCUGCAAAAUCCACAUUUGGUGUAACUGAGUUGGUUUUGAUUUAGAAAUAAAAAGAUUUAAUCUCUUCAGAAAUAUUGUCUAUGCAUCCAUUUAUCGCAUAAUCCAACUCUUCCUUGAUUACAAAUUCACAUGAAUUUCUUUCUGUUUAAUGUAGAUGAGCCCACAUCAAAUGGCAUUUCAGCAAUCAUGUAUAGCUUGGAGCUCUGAAAAUGAGUGGAUCCAUUAACAUAUUGUGUCAAACAAGACUUGAGAAAGAAGAAAUAGUCCAUUAAGAACCACAAAGUCUACAUUAUCCCUUCAAACCUAAAAUUAGAACUGUUAACUAACACAAGGACAAUGACAUAUUCGAACAAGUAACAUUUUAAUAUUUUAUAUUUAUAACAGUAAUAAAAAAAAGGUAAAAUCUUUGAGAAA
This 16644-nucleotide long non-coding RNA is filed under the name Phoenix dactylifera (date palm). Its description in RNAcentral is "long non-coding RNA (PDAC_LNC004162)". Lineage: Eukaryota; Viridiplantae; Streptophyta; Magnoliopsida; Arecales; Arecaceae. The record is from RNAcentral.